GACGGUCCACGCUUUUUCGCAUUUUUUAAUUUCUGAUUAUAUUUUCUUUUAUUUCUUUUAAUUCCAUUUCAUUCUAAAAAUUCAUAUCUCCUUCAUUAAUGGUCCAAAAAAAUAUGAGACCAAUUGCGUUUUUCUUCUUUUAAUUUCUAGUUUCUAAAAAUGAUUUUUUAUAUUUUUUAUUUUACCAUUUGUUAGUUUUUUAGGAAUUUUUUCUUUUCUGCUUAUUUUUAAUUCAUUUUAAAUAGUUUUUGAUAUUCAAA
This 260-nucleotide long non-coding RNA is filed under the name Lathyrus oleraceus (garden pea). RNAcentral describes it as "Pisum sativum (pea) long non-coding RNA (PSAT_LNC015846)". The record is from RNAcentral. Lineage: Eukaryota; Viridiplantae; Streptophyta; Magnoliopsida; Fabales; Fabaceae.